Molecule: ribosomal RNA, 407 nt
Filed under: uncultured prokaryote
Also listed under: 1 other name
Description: bacterial SSU rRNA
Rfam family: Bacterial small subunit ribosomal RNA
Source: RNAcentral
UGGGGAAUAUUGGGCAAUGGGCGAAAGCCUGACCCAGCGACGCCGCGUGAAGGAAGAAGAUCUUCGGAUUGUAAACUUUAGUCAACAGGGAAGAAGAAAGUGACGGUACCUGUGGAGGAAGCCACGGCUAACUACGUGCCAGCAGCCGCGGUAAUACGUAGGUGGCGAGCGUUAUCCGGAAUUACUGGGUGUAAAGGGUGUGUAGGCGGGCCGACAAGUCAGAUGUGAAAACUAUGGGCUUAACCCAUAGCCUGCAUUUGAAACUGCCGGUCUUGAGUGUGGGAGAGGUAAAUGGAAUUCCUGGUGUAGCGGUGAAAUGCGUAGAUAUCAGGAGGAACACCGGUGGCGAAGGCGAUUUACUGGACCAUAACUGACGCUGAGACACGAAAGCGUGGGGAGCAAACAGG